Molecule: long non-coding RNA, 1962 nt
Organism: Brienomyrus brachyistius
Lineage: Eukaryota; Metazoa; Chordata; Actinopteri; Osteoglossiformes; Mormyridae
Exons: 3
Source: RefSeq, a predicted model, not a curated record
GCUGAGGUAUGAUAGAAUCGUAUAAGAUAGGAACGGCUAAGAUAGCAUUAGGUAGGAUAGCAACGGGUAAGCUAAGAAAGAAUAGGAUAUGGUAUGAUGAAAAUGGCAAAGAUAUGAUAGGAUAAGGUGGUAUAGGAACGGCUAAUAUGAGAUAGAAUAAGAUAAGGUAGGAUAAAAAUGGCUAAGGUAUGAUAGAAUAGGCCAAGAUAGGAUAGGAAUGGCGAAGGUAAGAUAGAAUAGGAUAAGGUAGGAUAGGAAUGGUUAAGGUAAGAUAGAAUAGCAUGUGGUAGGAUUAGAAUGGGUAAGAUAGGAUGGAAUAGAAUAAGGUAACAUAUGAAUGGCUAAGAUAUGAUAGAAUAGAAUAAGGUAGGAUAGUAAUGGCUAAAGGUAAUAUAGAAUAGGAUAAGGUAGCAUAGGAACGGCUAAGAUAUGAUAAAAUAAGCUGGUUAGGAAAGAGUAAUAUGAGAUAGAAUAGUAUAAGGUAGGAUUGGAAUGAUUAGGGCAAGAUAGAAUAGGAUGUGGUAGGAUAAGAAUGUGUAGUAUAGGAUAAGAUAGGAUAGGAACGGCUAAGAUAUAAUAGAAUAGGAUAAGGUAGGAUAGGAUGUGGUAGGAUUAGAAUGGGUAAGAUAGGAUGGAAUAGGAUGAGGUAGGAAAGGAACGUGUAAGAUAUGGUAGAAUAUGCUAAGGUAGGAUAGGAAUGGUUAAGGUAAGAUAGAAUAGGAGAAGGUAGCAUAGGAAUGGCUAAGGUAAGAUAGAAUAGGAUAAGGUAGCAUAGGAACGGCUAAGAUAUGAUAGAAUAAGCUGGUUAGGAAAGAGUAAUAUAAGAUAGAAUAGGAUGAGGUAUGAUAGGAACAGCUGAGGUAUGAUAGAAACGUAUAAGACAGGCAUGGCUAAGAUAUUAUUAGGUAGGAUAGCAAUGGGUACGCGAAGAUAGAAUAGGAUGUGGUAGGAUGAAAAUGGCAAAGAUAUGAUAGGAUAAGGUAGUAUAGGAACGGCUAAUAUGAGAUAGAAUAAGAUAAGAUAGGAUAAAAAUGGCUAAGUUAUGAUAGAAUAGGCCAAGAUAGGAUAGGAAUGGCUAAGGUAAGAUAGAAUAGGAUAAGGUAGGAUAGGAAUGGUUAAGGUAAGAUAGGAUAGGAUGUGGUAGGAUAAGAAUGUGUAAGAUAGGAUAAGGUAGGAUAGGAACGGCUAAGAUAUAAAAGAAUAGGAUAAGGUAGAAUAGGAAUGCCAAUUGUAAGAUAGAAUAGCAUGUGGUAGGAUUAGAAUGGGUAAGAUAGGAUGGAAUAGAAUAAGGUAGCAUAUGAACGGCUAAGAUAUGAUAGAAUAGAAUAAGGUAGGAUAGCAAUGGCUGAAGGUAAUAUAGAAUAGGAUAAGGUAGCAUAGGAACGGCUAAGAUAUGAUAGAAUAUGCUGGUUAGUAAAGAGUAAUUUAAGAUAGAAUAGUAUAAGGUAGGAUUGGAAUGACUAGGGCAAGAUAGAAUAGGAUGUGGUAGGAUAAGAAUGUGUAAGAUAGGAUAAGGUAGGUUAGGAACGGCUAAGGUAUGAUAUAAUCGGAUUAAAUAGGAACGGCUAAGAGCAUUAGGUACGAUAGCAACGGGUAAGCUAAGAUUGAAUAGGAUAUGGUUCGAUGAAAAUGGCAAAGGCAUGAUAGGAUAAGGUAGUAUAGGAACGGCUAAUAUGAGAUAGAAUAAGAUAAGAUAGGAUAAAAAUGGCUAAGGUAUGAUAGAAUAGGCCAAGAUAGGAUAGGAAUGGCUAAGGUAAGAUAGAAUAGGAUAAGGUAGGAUAGGAAUGGUUAAGGUAAGAUAGGAUAGGAUGUUGUAGGAUAAGAAUGUGUAGGAUAGGAUAAGAUAGGAUAGGAACGGCUAAGAUAUAAUAGAAUAGGAUAAGAUAGGAUAGGAAUGCCAAAUGUAAGAUAGAAUAGGAUGUGGUAGGAUUAGAAUGGGUAAGAUAGGAUGGAAUAGGAUAA